Molecule: non-coding RNA, 809 nt
Organism: Phascolarctos cinereus (koala)
Lineage: Eukaryota; Metazoa; Chordata; Mammalia; Diprotodontia; Phascolarctidae
Source: RefSeq, a predicted model, not a curated record
UGUUACUCGAUGAUAGUGUCUGUUAUUUCUGGUUCUCCUCUGUCUGAGGCAUGACUUUCUUUCUUUUGGACAAGGCGAAGAGCCUUGGGUUGUGCCGGGCACAUUAGAAUUCUGCUGUCACCGCUGGGGCUGCUGGUUCCUCUCCGACAGAGCGAAGGAGCAGAGUGGACGGGUCACAGAAUGUCACAACUGGAGGGAACCUCACACUUAUACUGAAUCAAGAAUCCUCCUCUUCAACCUACCUGAGAAGCAAUCCUCCACCGUCUGCCUGCCAUCUGAAAUCUACUGGUCUUUGAAGGGAAUCUAGGAAAGUCUUCUGUACCAGAACCCAAAAGGGAUCAUGGCCAAACUCAACCACCCAACUCUGACAUCUAUGGUUGCUGUUCUAAUAUGGAUCCAUGCUUCAGUACUUACAAGAAUCCAUGACUUCAUUGAUGUGGGACCUUUCUCUCCUCUGAGGGAGAGUAGAGCCCUGCCAUGCCUUAGUAGGCAGUCAUCAGGAGCUGCUGUAGCCAGAAAACCAUCAUCACCUGGUAGGCAGCCUUCUGCUGAUGGGCCUCUCUGAACUAAUCUUGGCCGGUCCUUGGAUGACAGACACUAGGCCAAUACUUGAAGCCUAUCCAGCCCUGGGUAGGACCUGCCAGGGCUUGAAUUCUAUGGACAUAACCUACCCAGAAUAGCCUCUGUUCCAUAGUGAGGAAUAAGAGGAGGACUUUGGUGGAGGACAACAUGAUUAUAACAAUCUGAUUUUUUAAAUCAACAAUUAAACUGCUAAUGAACCAUUAUUAAAACAUUAUUAAUUAUUUCAA